RNAcentral lists this transfer RNA (64 nucleotides) under Onomarchus uninotatus. RNAcentral's name for it is "tRNA-Gly". It matches the Rfam family "tRNA". Rfam says of the family: Transfer RNA (tRNA) molecules are approximately 80 nucleotides in length. Their secondary structure includes four short double-helical elements and three loops (D, anti-codon, and T loops). Further hydrogen bonds mediate the characteristic L-shaped molecular structure. tRNAs have two regions of fundamental functional importance: the anti-codon, which is responsible for specific mRNA codon recognition, and the 3' end, to which the tRNAs corresponding amino acid is attached (by aminoacyl-tRNA synthetases). tRNAs cope with the degeneracy of the genetic code in two manners: having more than one tRNA (with a specific anti-codon) for a particular amino acid; and 'wobble' base-pairing, i.e. permitting non-standard base-pairing at the 3rd anti-codon position. The record is from RNAcentral. Lineage: Eukaryota; Metazoa; Arthropoda; Insecta; Orthoptera; Tettigoniidae.
AUUCAUUUAGUAUAUAAUAGUACAUUUGACUUCCAAUCAAAAAGCUUGAAGUUCAAAAUGAAUA